This 597-nucleotide long non-coding RNA is filed under the name Piliocolobus tephrosceles (Ugandan red Colobus). RNAcentral's name for it is "lncRNA (ENSPTEG00000038845.1)". Lineage: Eukaryota; Metazoa; Chordata; Mammalia; Primates; Cercopithecidae. The record is from RNAcentral.
AUGCUCAUUUCUGUCGUAUGCAAAAUGUUCUGCAAAUCAGCUAGCCUUGGCUGUGACCCCCGGGAAGCCAGAUGGGAUGCCAUCCCCCUUACUUCAGAAUUGUGGCCUUUCUCUUCUGAACUAUACUGGAAGAAACCAAUUCACCUCAAAUACCAAGGAAAUGGGUGUGAUGUAGGAGGCAGAAGAGUAGCCUUUUCCAUGCUGCCGGCAGAAUGGAGACAGACCUGGGCUCACACCCACCACCCAGACCCAGGAGUGGAUGGUUCAACGUGUACUGUAAGGCUAAAGAAGGUUGGCCAGGCAUGGUGGCUCAUGCAUGUAAUCCCAACACUUUGGGAGGCCAACGCCGGUGGACCGCUCGAGUGCAGGAGUUCGAGACCAGCCUGGGCAACAUGGCGAAACUCCAUCUCUACAAAAAAUACAGAAAAGCUGGGCGUGUUGGCAUGCACCUGUAGUCCCAGCUGCUCUGGAGGUUGAGAUGGGAGAAUCACCUGAGCCCAGGAGGUGGAGGUCGUGUGGGCCCUGGUUGCACCACUGCACUCCAGCCUGGGCGACAGAGACCCUGUCUCAAUUAAAAUAAAAGACUAAAGAAGGUCA